Molecule: transfer RNA, 72 nt
Filed under: Mus musculus (house mouse)
Lineage: Eukaryota; Metazoa; Chordata; Mammalia; Rodentia; Muridae
Description: tRNA-Leu
Source: RNAcentral
GGAGAGAUGGCUCAGAGGUUAAGAGCACUGACUGAGGUCCAGAGGUCCUGAGUUCAAUUCCCAGCAACCACA